UUGAAGUUAAGUGCAAGCGUGAAAUGAUUUGCUUAAUUUGGUGGAGGAAUUUCUCUCAUUUCUCCUAUCCCUCUUACCUUCCUCUCUCUAUUGUCUCCUAAGAUUUCAAGGCUUGAAGUUCAAUGCAUUUGCCUACACUAGACCUAAGGUGGCUCCACCCCUGGCUAUGCAUGAGGACCACAUGAGGAGACGACCAAUGCGUGUGGUGACACAUCAACCAAAAUUCAAAGAUAGUUUCUUCAGACAAUAUGUUUUUGGUGGCAUGGUGGACCUUCGAUGGUGUCUAUUUUUCAUUUUGAGCGAGAUGGUGAAAUCUAAAAGAUUUUACCCUCAAGCGUUCAAGUGCGGGAGUCGUUUUGUGUUGCCGUAGUUGCUCGAAGUUUUAGAGCGAAUAGUGGUGGCCCUAUAUUGUAAAUUAUUUCCUUAUUUACGAACCCGCAAAUAUGGUCUGCUUGGCAUUAUGUUCUUUCUUUUUAUUAUUGUAGCUAUGACUAUUGUGUAAGAUAAUUAUUUACUUUUCGCAUUAGAAGUCAUA
This 535-nucleotide long non-coding RNA is filed under the name Olea europaea (common olive). RNAcentral's name for it is "long non-coding RNA (OEUR_LNC009327)". Lineage: Eukaryota; Viridiplantae; Streptophyta; Magnoliopsida; Lamiales; Oleaceae. The record is from RNAcentral.